UCAGGAUAACAUCACAACUGGUCACUAUGUUUCGUUCACACCAGAUUCUAGUUGUAACAUCGUGCAUUUGCUGGAUUACAAUCCAAGCUAGUGGAUCGUCCUCCUUCAAUGUUGUGGAAAAAAACACGUGCUCCGGGCGUUUGGGUGGUCGCAUCAUCGAGGGACAAAUUGCACCGGAUGGCGCGUUCCCUUACCAGGCGUCCUUACGUAGGUCACAAAGGCACAGUUGCGGCGGAUCGAUACUAAACGAACGGUGGAUUUUAACGGCAGCUCAUUGUCUCACCGGCCUGUCGGAUGGUGGAUUGAAUGUUGUCGUUGGCACCAACGAAUUAAAUUCCGGCGGAACGGUUUACAAAUCGGUGAAAAUUUUGUAUCAUCACAAGUAUAACAUACACAAUGUGAUUAACGACGUGGGACUUGUGAAGGUCAAUGCAACCAUAAAGUUUAGCGAAAAAGUAAAACCCGUCACUUUGGCAAAUCGUGACGUCGACUUUGACAAUUAUCCAGCUACCCUAGCUGGAUGGGGUAUACAUCAGAAAAAUGGCUAUACCGUAUCGAAUGAGUUGCGGUACUAUUCGACGUGCUUGUUGAGUAAGAAAAAGUGCGAGGAGCGGAUUAGCUUAGCCAACGGGUACCAAAAGAUAUGCACAUUUACUCGAUACGGACAAGGCGCUUGUAACGGUGAUUCUGGCAGUCCACUGGUCACAGAUGGCAUGCAGAUAGGAAUAACAUCUUACGUGAUAAAUUCUUGCGCCGACGGCAAUCCAGACGUUUUUACCCGAGUUUAUUCGUAUUUGGAUUGGAUUAAGGAUCAAAUAACCAAAUAUUCGUGAUUACAAUAUUAAAUAAUCUUUGUCGUCAAAAAAAUAAGCAGGUACAUAAAGAACUGCUACGAUGACAAUAACCUGGACCAACUCUUAUCUCGUGUACCAUAAACAUUGUUUCGUCACCUUGAAAAACGUUUACAAAUCCACACCGUGCCCGAGUCCCCAUAAAAAUAUUGGUGCCGGAACGCUGCAUUGGACAAAGCCGACCACGCGCACGUGUGCCUAUAAUUUCGUUCCUCAGCCCUCGGGGGGACAGAAUCUCGUACGCGUGUAUGUAUACGUUCGAGCGAGCUCUCCGCAUUUGACGGAGUUGAAGUGCCCGGUGGCAGCGAUAUUGAAUUAGCACUCGAUGUUAAAUAGAAUUUCGCCUCCUGCGUCAUCGCUGCCAAGCAUCAUCGAGGAAAAGUGCGGGAGCUGUACGCGCCUAAUUUUAUCGCCAAGUUGAGCGACCCUUACUUCCCCCCUCCCCCUCUCUUUGUCUCCCUGCACCUGUUGAUAAGUCGGAAUCAAAUUAUGUUGAAAUCGUGGCGCUAACGUGGCUGAAUAUGUUACGUCUUUUAAGUGUCGAAGGGCGUGUAUAGCCUGUGUAGACCUAUACGUAUAAUAUAGGCCGUCGAGUAAUGGGCGAACGAGCAAUUUGUGACUAUUUUAAAAAGAUUGUGCGUUUAUGUAUUUUUACACCAAAAUAGUUUGUAACUUUCACUCACAAUCACACUUGAUGUCUAUGGAGCACAAACGUGUCGAUGAACGUUAUGGUUAAACAAAAAAAUA
Molecule: RNA transcript, 1598 nt
Organism: Copidosoma floridanum
Lineage: Eukaryota; Metazoa; Arthropoda; Insecta; Hymenoptera; Encyrtidae
Gene name: chymotrypsin-2-like
Source: RefSeq, a predicted model, not a curated record